This 370-nucleotide long non-coding RNA is filed under the name Lathyrus oleraceus (garden pea). Its description in RNAcentral is "Pisum sativum (pea) long non-coding RNA (PSAT_LNC029440)". Lineage: Eukaryota; Viridiplantae; Streptophyta; Magnoliopsida; Fabales; Fabaceae. The record is from RNAcentral.
AACAAUGCACUUCUUCGACAUCCGGCAUCGCAUACAUAACACCAUCGCAUUUCAAACCCUCAGUUCGCGCUUCGUCAUCGACCUCAACGCGUUUCCCCUUGCGCUUCGUCAUCAACCUCAACGCGUUUCACCUUGCGCUUCGUCAUCAACCUCAACGCGUUUCACCUUGCGCUUCGUCAUCAACCUCAACGUGUUUCGCCUUGCGCUUCUCAAUUGCGCUUCGUCAUCAACCUCAACGCGUUUCACCUUGCGCUUCGUCAUCAACCUCAACGCGUUUCACCUUGCGCUUCGUCAUCAACCUCAACGUGUUUCGCCUUGCGCUUCUCAUUUCGUCAACUCAAUGUUCAAUUUAGACGAUUCAAGCUCCAAC